Molecule: ribosomal RNA, 568 nt
Filed under: uncultured bacterium
Lineage: Bacteria
Description: partial 16S ribosomal RNA
Rfam family: Bacterial small subunit ribosomal RNA
Source: RNAcentral
UGGGGAAUAUUGCACAAUGGGCGAAAGCCUGAUGCAGCAACGCCGCGUGAGGGACGACGGGCCUUCGGGUUGUAAACCUCUUUUAGCAAGGAAGAAGCGAAAGUGACGGUACUUGCAGAAAAAGCGCCGGCUAACUACGUGCAAGCAGCCGCGGUAAUACGUAGGGCGCAAGCGUUAUCCGGAAUUAUUGGGCGUAAAGAGCUCGUAGGCGGUUUGUCGCGUCUGCUGUGAAAACCCGAGGCUCAACCUCGGGCCUGCAGUGGGUACGGGCAGACUAGAGUGCGGUAGGGGAGAUUGGAACUCCUGGUGUAGCGGUGGAAUGCGCAGAUAUCAGGAAGAACACCGAUGGCGAAGGCAGAUCUCUGGGCCGUAACUGACGCUGAGGAGCGAAAGGGUGGGGAGCAAACAGGCUUAGAUACCCUGGUAGUCCACCCCGUAAACGUUGGGAACUAGUUGUGGGGUCCAUUCCACGGAUUCCGUGACGCAGCUAACGCAUUAAGUUCCCCGCCUGGGGAGUACGGCCGCAAGGCUAAACUCAAAGGAAUUGACGGGGUCAUAGCUGUUUCCU